This 253-nucleotide ribosomal RNA is filed under the name uncultured bacterium. Its description in RNAcentral is "partial 16S ribosomal RNA". It matches the Rfam family "Bacterial small subunit ribosomal RNA", at positions 524 to 776 of the family's 1533-position model. The record is from RNAcentral.
UACAGAGGUCCCAAGCGUUGUUCGGAUUCACUGGGCGUAAAGGGUGCGUAGGUGGCAAGGUAAGUUUGAUGUGAAAUCUCCGAGCUUAACUCGGAAACUGCAUUGAAUACUAUCUUGCUUGAGGGUUGGAGGGGGGACUGGAAUUCUCGGUGUAGCAGUGAAAUGCGUAGAUAUCGAGAGGAACACCUGCGGCGAAGGCGGGUUGCUGGGCUGACACUGACGCUGAUGCGCGAAAGCCAGGGGAGCGAACGGG